UACAGCGUGCAAGUGGUUUGUUUUUCCCCUUCUUGCGCAUGCCAGCAAGCAAAAAGCAGGGAGGAGCUGGAUUUCAUGUCAAAAUGACUCUGAGGCAAAAUGAGUUCCAGACAUGAUCUCAUGCAGCUGCAAUGAAGAAGAAAACAUACGGCCCAGCAAAGCGGGGGAGACAGGAGGAAAGAGGAGAAGGAGGAGGGAAGUGUUGUUUGUGGUCAGCCAGUCUGUAGGAUUUGAGUGUUAAGACUUGAGGCUGACUUGUUUUGCAAGACAAUUACUUGUUCCCGCCUCUGCGAACGCUGUGCUCUUAAAAGUGCGUAGUGCCAAGUCAGCAAGUCUCCGUAAAUACUAAGAGUGAGUUUAAUGGUGAGUAACGAUUAAGUCAGCUUUUGGAAGCAUUCAUUACUAUCAUUAUGUGUUAUUCUUUACUCAUGAAUCACAUUAUUACCAUAACCAUGUGUGUUAUCUGAAUUUUAGGGGCUUUUUAAUAUUUAGAAGGAGCUUAUUCAUAUUUGAAGGUAUGCAACCCAAAAAAACCCCAGCAGACUAAGACUAAGGAGCACCAAAACCUCCAGAAGAUGUUCACCUUUCUUUACUUAGACAGGAAUGCAGGGAAAAAUGCGUCUCAGACGAGACGAGAUGUGAAUCUCACCGAAACAACCAGCCUACUUUGAUGGCACUGCUAGCCAGAUGUUGUACAGAUGUAGAAAACUUAAAUUUCCACACCAAGUUACAGAUUCGCCACAGCAAGACUGUGUGAUACUGUCAUAGACCACAAGGCUAAAUUCGCAUUACUUACUCUGAAAGUAAAAGUUUAUUGCUCCGCGCUGCAGAGCGAGUUCAGACAUUCCUUAAGCGAUGAAACAUUUGUCUUCGGCAAACCUUUAUCUUACAUGAGCUUUUCAUAUUCAAUAUUCAAUAUAAAGCCAAAGCCAAAAACAAAACAAACAAAAACAGUCUUCCACAGCCUUUGUCUUAUUUUAGAAAAUGAAUGACUUAAUAGUAGUAGAUUUUGUUUUUAAAGGAGGAAAUAAUUUUCGGACAUGAAAUAAUAAAAAUGCCAAAAAAUCUUUUCAUGUCGGUAAAAAGGCAUUCCAGUUCACAUGUCACAGUCCGUCAAUCACUAAAGCCAGACAGGACUGAGAAAUAAAACACAGGAAUUCAUUAGUUGCGGAAAUGGCCACAAGCACUUUGAAGCUCUGUAAUGAGACACGGAGCAUGCACAAUCUCGAUAAUUACUAUGCAGCUACACAAAUUCCAAACAGUGUAUUCCACAGGGAAAUUGGGUAGCAAUGCUACAUGCUCACAUUUUCAUUAACAGUGUACUAUUAUUUCAAAAUGUUGUCACUGUGUGUUUCUUACUCUAGUUUCUCCGAGUUAACACUAUAAGACACCUGACCAAUUACACCCAUAUAUGCUUUAUGAACAACCCAUUCCAGAUUUAGUACACACUUUCUAUUACAAUCUAUCUCUACUCUUCUGGGAAGGUUAUGCACUAGAUUUUGGAGUGUGGUUGUGUGGAUUUUCUCACUGAGCCACAAGAGCGAGGUCAGGAACUGAUGGCAGGUGAGGAGGCUUGGGGCACAGUUGGCAUUCCAAUUCAUCCCAAAGGUGAGUUCUUUCACUCCAACCUUGGCAAACCAUGUUUUUAUGGACCUCAAUUUGUGCACAGGGGCAUUGUCAUGUUGGAACAGGUUUGGGCCUCUUAGUUCCAGUGAAGGGAAAUUGCAACGCGUACAAAGACAUUAAAGACAACUGUGUGCUUCAAACUUGCUGGCAACAGUUUGAGGAAGGGUAAUGGUCAGAUGCCGACAAACUUUUGACCAUAUAGUGUAUCUGUGUAUGGACUCUCUACCUAUCAUCCUCAAAAAAUAUGGUGUGCCAUCUAUGACUAUCGGAAGCAAAAAUUAGGCAUGGUCUCUGUACCCGUCAGUCCCAAAAAUGAGGCGUGGCUAUGGAGUCUGUCAGGUGUAAUGAAGGAAGUGUGGCCUCCCAAUCCAUAAAGCUCUAAAUUGCACUUAUAUUAAUUAAAAUUAAAUAUUAUAUCAUAAUUUUAUUGCAAAACAUUGCUACUUUGUGUCAUAUUGUUGUUUAAAUGCAUUCAUUCUGACUUUUUCUGUAUUAUUUUGGUAAGACCAAAAAGACUUAACAUAUAAAAAGGUACUGACUGCAACAAUAAAUGUUAAAUCACCCGGGUCAUUAUCCUUGUCUUCUGGCUUUUGUGUGGUUUCAGUAUGAGCAAGUUGAGUGGUCUGAGCCUCAGUAGGGGCAGCUACAGGCGGCAGAGGAGGCUCCACGAUCACCCGGAAGAUGCGUCUCUCGUGCAGGCCGCAGUAGUGAUGGUGCAGAUGGCAGGAGUAUAGACCUUUAUCAGAUGGCUGAAUGUCAUUAAUUGUGAGGGAGAAAUCCCCCAUGCUGAAGGCAUCAUCUGCGAUGAGCAUCUUGCUGAGGUACAAUGGCCUGUACUCCCGCUUCUCUCCAGAGGCGUACAGAUCGAGAAGCCGGUCUGCCUGGUGAUGCCUCACCCCCGGACCCUGAAAGUCCCAGUGCACAACCUGCUGCUGGUCUUCUUGGAGCCCUCCCCUCCAAAGAGGGCGUCGGUUUAUACAAGGCAAGACCACGCUGCUGCCCUCCAACACCACAAAGACAGACUUCUCCCCAUUCCAUACACGCCUCUCCUUACGUGCUGCAGGACAGAAGUUUAAGACGAGGAGUUAUUGCAACAUAUAAUAUAUUUAUUCAGCAAAUAAUACGAGUGAGGUUUUUUAUAUGUUCCUAGCCACCAGUGUUCAAAAGAAUGUUGAACUUGACCAUGAUAAAUAUGAAUGCAAAUACCAGAAAUUCAGAAGAAAAAAUGCUAAAAAAAAAUAUCGCAGGUUUAUAAACUGCCAUAGUGAUAAAAUGAUGAGGUAAUAAACUGUGAUGGAAACAGAACAGCAGAAAGAUGAGUACAUAGCAAGUUUGUGUUCCUGUCGAUUUGGGUCUAGUUACUUGACUACUGAGUGCUGCAUAACAGCAGUUAGUGUAAAUACACAAUGUUUCACACUGCUCUAUUAAUGAGCUUGCUGGAAUUCACAUUAAACUUACAAAACAUUUGGUUCUAAAUUUGCCCAGGCUUUCAUGUAAUUUUGUGAUGGCUUAUAGAUUUAUAACACAGUAAUAAGCUGGACUUCACUACUUAACAGACAACAAAGAAUAUAAAAGUACAACGUAAAUAAUACACUAAAUAGAAUAGAACGUACGUGACUUGGUGACGUUUAACUGGAUUUGAAUGGAUUGGUCGAUCUUGCAGUAAUGGUGAUGCAGGUUGCAAGUAUAGAUGCCUUUAUCGUUCAUAUCAACAUCUGCACACAAUCGAACAAAAUCGCAACAACUUUAGUGAGGACAAAAAUAUAACGUCAACCACUUUGCAGAAUCAGGAGGAUCAUACUAUGGAUGGUGAGAGAGAAGUUGCCAUCAUCAAAUGCUUCUUUGGAGACAGUGACCCGGCCCUUGUUGUAGGCGUUAUAGACACGCUCCGGCCCUCCUGAGAACAUGUCUAGAACACGCUCAACUGUGUAAUCAGGGCGGUUGCGGUUCAGG
Long non-coding RNA from Ictalurus punctatus (channel catfish), 3579 nucleotides. RefSeq lists it as uncharacterized. The record is from RefSeq and is a predicted model, not a curated record. The transcript is spliced from 2 exons. Lineage: Eukaryota; Metazoa; Chordata; Actinopteri; Siluriformes; Ictaluridae.